This 3011-nucleotide ribosomal RNA is filed under the name Salmonella enterica subsp. enterica. RNAcentral describes it as "bacterial LSU rRNA". It matches the Rfam family "Bacterial large subunit ribosomal RNA". Lineage: Bacteria; Pseudomonadati; Pseudomonadota; Gammaproteobacteria; Enterobacterales; Enterobacteriaceae. The record is from RNAcentral.
GGGUUGUGAGGUUAAGCGACUAAGCGUACACGGUGGAUGCCCUGGCAGUCAGAGGCGAUGAAGGACGUGCUAAUCUGCGAUAAGCGCCGGUAAGGUGAUAUGAACCGUUAUAACCGGCGAUUUCCGAAUGGGGAAACCCAGUGUGAUUCGUCACACUAUCAUUAACUGAAUCCAUAGGUUAAUGAGGCGAACCGGGGGAACUGAAACAUCUAAGUACCCCGAGGAAAAGAAAUCAACCGAGAUUCCCCCAGUAGCGGCGAGCGAACGGGGAGGAGCCCAGAGCCUGAAUCAGCAUGUGUGUUAGUGGAAGCGUCUGGAAAGGUGCGCGAUACAGGGUGACAGCCCCGUACACAAAAGCGCAUGUGCUGUGAGCUCGAUGAGUAGGGCGGGACACGUGGUAUCCUGUCUGAAUAUGGGGGGACCAUCCUCCAAGGCUAAAUACUCCUGACUGACCGAUAGUGAACCAGUACCGUGAGGGAAAGGCGAAAAGAACCCCGGCGAGGGGAGUGAAAAAGAACCUGAAACCGUGUACGUACAAGCAGUGGGAGCACCCUUCGGGGUGUGACUGCGUACCUUUUGUAUAAUGGGUCAGCGACUUAUAUUCUGUAGCAAGGUUAACCGUAUAGGGGAGCCGUAGGGAAACCGAGUCUUAACCGGGCGUUAAGUUGCAGGGUAUAGACCCGAAACCCGGUGAUCUAGCCAUGGGCAGGUUGAAGGUUGGGUAACACUAACUGGAGGACCGAACCGACUAAUGUUGAAAAAUUAGCGGAUGACCUGUGGCUGGGGGUGAAAGGCCAAUCAAACCGGGAGAUAGCUGGUUCUCCCCGAAAGCUAUUUAGGUAGCGCCUCGUGAAUUCAUCUCCGGGGGUAGAGCACUGUUUCGGCUAGGGGGCCAUCCCGGCUUACCAACCCGAUGCAAACUGCGAAUACCGGAGAAUGUUAUCACGGGAGACACACGGCGGGUGCUAACGUCCGUCGUGAAGAGGGAAACAACCCAGACCGCCAGCUAAGGUCCCAAAGUCAUGGUUAAGUGGGAAACGAUGUGGGAAGGCCCAGACAGCCAGGAUGUUGGCUUAGAAGCAGCCAUCAUUUAAAGAAAGCGUAAUAGCUCACUGGUCGAGUCGGCCUGCGCGGAAGAUGUAACGGGGCUAAACCAUGCACCGAAGCUGCGGCAGCGAACGUAUCACCCAAGACAACUUUACGGAGUUGACGAUUGACGGAGCGAAGCGACGUCAAAGCGUUCAUUAAAGUCGAGUUGGCUUAGGGAUACGUUCGUUGGGUAGGGGAGCGUUCUGUAAGCCUGUGAAGGUGUGUCGUGAGGCAUGCUGGAGGUAUCAGAAGUGCGAAUGCUGACAUAAGUAACGAUAAAGCGGGUGAAAAGCCCGCUCGCCGGAAGACCAAGGGUUCCUGUCCAACGUUAAUCGGGGCAGGGUGAGUCGACCCCUAAGGCGAGGCCGAAAGGCGUAGUCGAUGGGAAACGGGUUAAUAUUCCCGUACUUGGUGUUACUGCGAAGGGGGGACGGAGAAGGCUAUGUUGGCCGGGCGACGGUUGUCCCGGUUUAAGCGUGUAGGUGUGUGUUCCAGGUAAAUCCGGUUCACUUUAACACUGAGGCGUGACGACGAGGCACUACGGUGCUGAAGCAACAAAUGCCCUGCUUCCAGGAAAAGCCUCUAAGCAUCAGGUAACACGAAAUCGUACCCCAAACCGACACAGGUGGUCAGGUAGAGAAUACCAAGGCGCUUGAGAGAACUCGGGUGAAGGAACUAGGCAAAAUGGUGCCGUAACUUCGGGAGAAGGCACGCUGACACGUAGGUGAAGUGAUUUACUCAUGGAGCUGAAGUCAGUCGAAGAUACCAGCUGGCUGCAACUGUUUAUUAAAAACACAGCACUGUGCAAACACGAAAGUGGACGUAUACGGUGUGACGCCUGCCCGGUGCCGGAAGGUUAAUUGAUGGGGUCAGCGCAAGCGAAGCUCCUGAUCGAAGCCCCGGUAAACGGCGGCCGUAACUAUAACGGUCCUAAGGUAGCGAAAUUCCUUGUCGGGUAAGUUCCGACCUGCACGAAUGGCGUAAUGAUGGCCAGGCUGUCUCCACCCGAGACUCAGUGAAAUUGAACUCGCUGUGAAGAUGCAGUGUACCCGCGGCAAGACGGAAAGACCCCGUGAACCUUUACUAUAGCUUGACACUGAACAUUGAGCCUUGAUGUGUAGGAUAGGUGGGAGGCUUUGAAGUGUGGACGCCAGUCUGCAUGGAGCCGACCUUGAAAUACCACCCUUUAAUGUUUGAUGUUCUAACGUGGACCCGUAAUCCGGGUUGCGGACAGUGUCUGGUGGGUAGUUUGACUGGGGCGGUCUCCUCCUAAAGAGUAACGGAGGAGCACGAAGGUUGGCUAAUCCUGGUCGGACAUCAGGAGGUUAGUGCAAUGGCAUAAGCCAGCUUGACUGCGAGCGUGACGGCGCGAGCAGGUGCGAAAGCAGGUCAUAGUGAUCCGGUGGUUCUGAAUGGAAGGGCCAUCGCUCAACGGAUAAAAGGUACUCCGGGGAUAACAGGCUGAUACCGCCCAAGAGUUCAUAUCGACGGCGGUGUUUGGCACCUCGAUGUCGGCUCAUCACAUCCUGGGGCUGAAGUAGGUCCCAAGGGUAUGGCUGUUCGCCAUUUAAAGUGGUACGCGAGCUGGGUUUAGAACGUCGUGAGACAGUUCGGUCCCUAUCUGCCGUGGGCGCUGGAGAACUGAGGGGGGCUGCUCCUAGUACGAGAGGACCGGAGUGGACGCAUCACUGGUGUUCGGGUUGUCAUGCCAAUGGCACUGCCCGGUAGCUAAAUGCGGAAGAGAUAAGUGCUGAAAGCAUCUAAGCACGAAACUUGCCCCGAGAUGAGUUCUCCCUGAGACUUAGAGUCUCCUGAAGGAACGUUGAAGACGACGACGUUGAUAGGCCGGGUGUGUAAGCGCAGCGAUGCGUUGAGCUAACCGGUACUAAUGAACCGUGAGGCUUAACCUUACAACGCCGAAG